This 427-nucleotide ribosomal RNA is filed under the name uncultured archaeon. RNAcentral describes it as "bacterial SSU rRNA". It matches the Rfam family "Archaeal small subunit ribosomal RNA", at positions 44 to 473 of the family's 1478-position model. The record is from RNAcentral.
UUAAGCCAUGUGAGUCGAACGAGUUUAGGCUCGUGGCGUACGGCUCAGUAACACGUGGAUAACCUACCCUUAGGACUGGGAUAACCCUGGGAAACUGGGGAUAAUACUAGAUAGGCAAUUUUUCCUGGAAUGGUUUUUUGUUUAAAUGUUUUUUCGCCUAAGGAUGGGUCUGCGGCCGAUUAGGUAGUUGGUUAGGUAACGGCUUACCAAGCCAUUGAUCGGUACGGGUUGUGAGAGCAAGAGCCCGGAGAUGGAACCUGAGACAAGGUUCCAGGCCCUACGGGGUGCAGCAGGCGCGAAACCUCCGCAAUGUGAGAAAUCGCGACGGGGGGAUCCCAAGUGCCAUUCUUAACGGGAUGGCUUUUCAUUAGUGUAAAGAGCUUUUGGAAUAAGGGCUGGGCAAGACCGGUGCCAGCCGCCGCGGUAA